GGAGGGAUGGCAGAGCUGGCCGAUCGCGGCAGCCUUGAAAGCUGUUGAGGGCGUAUGCCCUCCGGGGGUUCGAAUCCCUCUCCCUCCGCCA
This 91-nucleotide transfer RNA is filed under the name Desulfovibrio sp. RNAcentral's name for it is "tRNA-Ser". It matches the Rfam family "tRNA". Rfam says of the family: Transfer RNA (tRNA) molecules are approximately 80 nucleotides in length. Lineage: Bacteria; Pseudomonadati; Thermodesulfobacteriota; Desulfovibrionia; Desulfovibrionales; Desulfovibrionaceae. The record is from RNAcentral.